Molecule: transfer RNA, 90 nt
Filed under: Deltaproteobacteria bacterium
Lineage: Bacteria; Pseudomonadati; Myxococcota; Myxococcia
Also listed under: 1 other name
Description: tRNA-Ser
Rfam family: tRNA
About the family: Transfer RNA (tRNA) molecules are approximately 80 nucleotides in length. Their secondary structure includes four short double-helical elements and three loops (D, anti-codon, and T loops).
Source: RNAcentral
GGAGAGAUGGCCGAGUAGGCUGAAGGCGCUCGCCUGCUAAGCGAGUGUGUGUCGAAAGAUGCACCCCGGGUUCGAAUCCCGGUCUCUCCG